UUUAGAUGCGUAAGUAUUCGCAUCCAACUUUAAUCAUUUAUUUUAUUUAAAUUUUUCUAAAUUAAUAUUUUUAUUGUUAUGAGAUGAUAAAAUAUGAAUAAUAUUUUAUCCGUGACUUAUAUAUUUAGUUUUUCUAAAAAUAUUUAGUUUUUUAAAAGAAUUUUAAAUAAAAUAAACGAUUAAAAUUGGGCGCGGAAAACCAUGACUAUACUUAAA
Molecule: non-coding RNA, 216 nt
Organism: Oryza nivara
Lineage: Eukaryota; Viridiplantae; Streptophyta; Magnoliopsida; Poales; Poaceae
Source: Rfam